UUUGCUUUCGCAAUUGAAAAGGGAAAUUGCACAGUUCUUGGAAUAUGGAUGGUUAAGGUCAGAUUGCCCUAAGAGGUAUGAGCUUCACAAUUCAAGUGAGGGGUGUUGGUGAUGUCAAGAGAGGUCACAAAGGACCACAGUGAGGACCAGUAAGGCAUCUUCUAGGGUUCUCAUGUUGCCUCCGUUGGACGAUGGACACUGAGCUUUUAACUGCACUAUGAAGAGGCAUUGAGAACUGGUCAUACAAUCACAUCUCAUGGAGCAGAGGAGAAAGUUAAUUGGCUGUGCCAGUCUGUCAAGAAGAUGAAUGUUACAGCUCUUGCGGGAUUGAAGGGUAUUUCAAAGAGCACUAUGAACACUUCAGAUGGAAAAAGAUUCAAAGAUUCUGUGGAAGUAAUAUGAACAUUCACACUGGAGAGACACGAAUACAGAAGAAAGCAAAGCCCUGAGGCUGUAAUUUC
RNAcentral lists this long non-coding RNA (461 nucleotides) under Macaca mulatta (Rhesus monkey). RNAcentral describes it as "lncRNA (ENSMMUG00000061351.1)". The record is from RNAcentral. Lineage: Eukaryota; Metazoa; Chordata; Mammalia; Primates; Cercopithecidae.